GCAAUGGGCUCCAAGAAGGUGAUUUCAUAGUCAUAUACUCCGACGUUAAAUGUGGCAAAUAUUUGAUACGAGGGGUUAAAGUAAGACAGCCGACGGGACAGAAGCAGGAGGCUCCGCCGUCGUCAGCAGCUACCACGAAGAGGCAAAACAAGUCGCAGAGGAACAUAAACAAUAACUCUCCUUCGGCCAGUGUGGUGGUCGCUUCACCAGCUUCUCAAACUGUUAAAUGAAGAAAGCAAAAAAGAAAGAACAUGAAACAAUAUAAAUAUUAUUAUGUAGCAAGUAAUAAAGAGGCAAAAGGAAAAAAUGGCAGCGUACCUGAGUGUGCCACUUCUCGCGCAUGCAUGGGAUCUUCAAGACAAAUGGAGGGUUAUGAUUAAAGCUGUGUUGUCGGGGUCGGGGUUCGGGUUUUUACUCCAUUUUUUUGCUUUUUCUUGUCGAGUCGUUAACUCUUCUCUUCCUUUUUUACCGUCAGGAUAUUGUAAAGAAUGAUUAAAUCUGGAAAUGGUGUUUGUGUUAUAUUUCUGGAGAGAUGAUUAUAGUCUUUUUGUUGUUGUAACUUUUUAUACGUAUGUGGCUCAUUUCUUGAGUUGAGCUUUAUUA
This is a non-coding RNA of Camelina sativa (false flax), 603 nucleotides long. Lineage: Eukaryota; Viridiplantae; Streptophyta; Magnoliopsida; Brassicales; Brassicaceae. The record is from RefSeq and is a predicted model, not a curated record.